This 465-nucleotide ribosomal RNA is filed under the name uncultured bacterium. Its description in RNAcentral is "partial 16S ribosomal RNA". It matches the Rfam family "Bacterial small subunit ribosomal RNA", at positions 338 to 795 of the family's 1533-position model. The record is from RNAcentral.
CCUACGGGGGGCAGCAGUGGGGAAUAUUGCGCCAUGGGCGAAAGCCUGACGCAGCGACGCCGCGUGAGGGAUGAAGGUCUUCGGAUCGUAAACCUCUGUCAGCAGGGAAGAACGGUCACUGUGCUAAUCAGCAGUGAAUUGACGGUACCUGCAAAGGAAGCACAGGCUAACUCCGUGCCAGCAGCCGCGGUAAUACGGAGGGUGCGAGCGUUAAUCGGAAUUACUGGGCGUAAAGCGCUCGUAGGCGGUAUGUCAAGUCAAGGGUGAAAUCCCCGCGCUCAACGUGGGAACUGCCUUUGAAACUGGCAAACUGGAGUGUGUGAGAGGAUAGUGGAAGUCCAGGUGUAGGAGUGAAAGCCGUAGAUAUCUGGAGGAACAUCAGUGGCGAAGGCGACUAUCUGGCACAUAACUGACGCUGAGGAGCGAAAGCGUGGGUAGCAAACAGGAUUAGAUACCCUAGUAGUC